CUAUCAAAACAGUAAGUGAACACCGGCGUAAAAAACUGUCCUACGAAAAUCUGAAUCGUCGGGAGACUUUCGUCAGCUGGAGAUUAUGUUAUAGAAAAAAUGUUGUCAAUUUUAAUGAUAUGCUCCCUCAAUUUUCUCCGUUCAUUAUUGUCCACAGAUAGAUGAGGAUGGGGAGAAUGGUGUUUCGAUAAAUAACCUUUUUCCCUUUUCUUUUUCUUCGUCGUCUGUGGUCAUGGUGACAACAUACAGUGCUGCUUUCUCUUUCGGAGUUCAUCUCUUAUCAAUUGCUCUUACAUUUCGUUUGCUGGAUUCUGUAUGUCUGCAGGUUGACAGUUUGCUUGGUGCUGGGUCGUAGUGGUUCUUUAGAGCAUGAAGCUGCCAGAAGAACGCGAAACGAGUUCAUGGCAGCAUCUUCAUGGGAUGGAUCGAGAUCAAAAGAUAAGCUAGAGAUUAGAGAAUCCUCAUCCUUGGUUCCACAAAAGAGACCAUUUGAUCUAGAUUUUUCUGUAAUCCGCCAUUUAUCCAAAAGACAAGAUUGCUUUUUUCUCUUUCGAGUAUCAUAGGCGUAUCUGGUGGUUUUAGACAUCAACCACUCUCCUCCCUCCCUGUGUCCUCUUGUCAUUGUCAAGAGUCUUACCUUAUUGCCAACUAAAAAUAGCCUCAUG
RNAcentral lists this long non-coding RNA (665 nucleotides) under Populus trichocarpa (black cottonwood). RNAcentral's name for it is "long non-coding RNA (PTRI_LNC001458)". The record is from RNAcentral. Lineage: Eukaryota; Viridiplantae; Streptophyta; Magnoliopsida; Malpighiales; Salicaceae.